This is an RNA transcript of Populus trichocarpa (black cottonwood), 4272 nucleotides long. It is a transcript of the gene named pentatricopeptide repeat-containing protein At2g26790, mitochondrial, with no coding region annotated. The transcript has 8 exons. NCBI's taxonomy places the organism in Eukaryota, Viridiplantae, Streptophyta, Magnoliopsida, Malpighiales, Salicaceae. The record is from RefSeq and is a predicted model, not a curated record.
CACUGACAUAAAACUAUACAGCAGCAGCAGCAGCCACCCAUGACCCUCCUCCUCCCUCUCUCCCUCCUUCCCUCUCUCUCUCCCCGACUCACCGCGCCACUACCCUCCCACCUCUGUACCGCCCUGCAAAGCUGACAACAUCACCCCACAACACUCCCUCCUCCAUCCCGCUCGCUCAGCACAGUUGACAGCAGCACGCACCACCUCCCUUCCUCUCUCUCUCUCUCUCUCUCGCCCACCACACCUCCCUCUCUUUUGCCCAGCACAGCAACCACCUCUCUCUCAGGUUCUAGCGAUUCAAUACUUACCCCAUAACUUAUGACAUAUUGCACACAACAGGUCUAUUCUCAGCUGAGCAGAAAAGGUAUGAGCUAGUGUUUUUGCUUGUCUUAUUGUUUAUUUCUUCAUACUUUGCUGGUGGAGGGUAAAUAUAAAUUUCUGCAAGCUAUUUUGUUAGUUCUAGGCACAAAUGCAAUAUCUCAAGUAUCAUGCUUGAGAUGGAUCACCUGGUGGAAGUGUUUAUGUAUGUGUUAUAGGUGAGCUUCAAGAGAUAACAACUUUAAUGAGAUGGGUGGGCAGUGUGCACACUUCGGGACACGAGUAAUGAGGAGUAGUAAACUCUUGACCCACUUCACCUCUAAUUCCAGAUCCUUUUCCACUGCAUCAUUUGCUGGCUUGACCAGCACCAGCACUAGCACCACUCCCUCUGCUAAUAACCACACAGACCCCGCAAAAGAUGAUGACCAACAACAGCCAUUACAAUCACACAAGAUAGUUGAUACCUUAUACAACCUUAAGAAUCAGCCUCACCUUGCUUUCUCCAUCUUUUCCCACCUCAAAAACCCCGACAUCCCUGCCUAUGCUGCCAUCAUUCGAAUCCUUUGUCAUUGGGGUCUCCACAAGAUGCUCCACUCCAUUUUCCUUCAUCUUCACCAAAAUAACAACGACUUUACUUCUUUUGAUAUUUCCCAUUUGCUUGACACGCUCUCUCUCCCUCAUCAUAUUGACAUUGAUCUUGAAAAGGAGGACACUGUGAAGCAUCGCUCUUCUUUCUUGAUCCAAGUCUAUGAUGCCUUGGUCAAGUCCUAUGUCACUGCAGGCAUGCUUGAUGAGGCUAUCAAUGCUUUAUUUCAGAUCAAAAGGCGCGGAUUCCUGCCCCAUAUUUUCACCUUUAACUAUCUCAUGAACAAAUUGAUUGCAAAUGGUAAAGUGGAUGCGGCUUUGGCCAUUUACAAGCAGUUGAAGAGUUUGGGUUUGAACCCCAAUGACUACACCUAUUCUAUCAUCAUAAAGGCCUUUUGCAGAAAGGGCAGUUUAGUGGAGGCCUCGAAUGUCUUUCAGGAGAUGGAACUUUGUGGGGUCAUUCCUAAUGCUUAUGCUUACACGACUUAUAUUGAAGGACUCUGUGCAAAUCAGAGGUCAGACUUCGGAUAUCAGGUGCUUCAAGCGUGGAAAGAAGGCAACAUUCCUAUUGAUGUGUAUGCUUAUGUGGCUGUAAUUCGUGGAUUUUGUAAUGAGAUGAAAAUGGACCGAGCAGAGGUUGUCUUGGGAGACAUGGAAAAACAAGAGUUGAUUUCUGAUGCGCGUUGCUAUAGUGAAUUGAUUCGUGGAUAUUGCAAGGCUGGGGAUCUUUCGAAAGCCUUGGCACUCCACAAUGACAUGGAAUCAAAAGGUAUCAAAACAAAUUGUGUCAUUGUCAGCACAAUUCUCCAAUACUUUUGUGAGAAGGGAAUGCAUUCCCAAGUGGUGGAAGAAUUUAAAAGAUUUAAGGAUUUAAGAAUUUUUCUAGAUGAGGUUUCAUACAACAUUGUGGUUGAUGCUUUAUGCAAACUAGAGAAAGUGGAUCAAGCUGUAGCAUUGCUGGAUGAAAUGAAGGGUAAGCAAAUGGAUAUGGACAUUAUGCACUACACAACUCUAAUAAAUGGGUAUUGUCACGUAGGAAAGCUGGUUGAUGCAUUUAGGGUAUUUGAGGAAAUGGAAGGAAAGGGUUUGGAGCCAGAUGUUGUCACUUUCAACAUACUUCUUGCUGCCUUUUCUAGGAGAGGCCUUGCAAACGAGGCGCUUAAGCUCUAUGAAUAUAUGAAGUCACAGGAUCUAAAACCUAAUGCUAUUACACACAAUGUGAUGAUUGAAGGUUUAUGUAUUGGAGGCAAAGUGACUGAAGCUGAAGCAUUUUUCUGUAACAUGGAGGAUAAGAGUAUAGAUAAUUAUGGUGCCAUGAUUACUGGGUACUGUGAGGCUAAACAUACUGAAAAGGCCUCUGAACUUUUCUUUGAACUUUCAGAACGGGGUCUUCUAAUGGAUAGAGGUUAUAUCUAUAAGCUACUUGAAAAACUCUGUGAGGAAGGUGAAAAGGAUAGAGCUCUUUGGUUGCUUAAGACAAUGUUGGAUUUGAAUAUGGAACCUAGCAAAGACAUGUAUGGUAAAGUCAUUACUGCUUGUUAUCGGGCUGGAGAUAUGAGAAAUGCAGAGGCAGUUUUCGACAUUUUACGUAAGAGUGGAUUAACUCCUGACAUUUUUACCUACACAACAAUGAUAAAUGUUUGUUGCAGACAGAAUCGCUUGUCGGAAGCCCGCAAUCUUUUCCAGGAUAUGAAGCACAGAGGAAUUAAGCCUGAUCUAGUUACUUUUACUGUUUUGCUGGAUGGACAUUUAAAGAGAGUACAUUCUGAAGCAUUUGCAAGGAAAAGAAAGGAAGUAAAUUUGGCUGCUUCAAAUAUUUGGAAAGAAAUGCAGAAUACAGAAAUCAGACCAGAUGUUAUUUGUUACACAGCUUUGAUUGAUGGGCAUUGUAAGGUAGAUAGACUUGAGGAUGCCAUAGGCCUCUAUGAUGAAAUGAUGUAUAGAGGAGUAGAACCUGAUAGAGCAACGUGCACAGCUCUUCUGUCUGGCUGUCGUAACAGGGGAGAUGUUGAUAUGGUACUUACAAAACUGAACCUUAUUAAUCUUACAUCUGUCAAGGAGAUGUAACCAGAUGACCAUACUCAAUAAUGGCUGGAUGAAGCUGUGAAAAGUUUCAGUUUCUUAAGUAGACCACAUCCCUUGCCAGAAAUUUGCUCUAGAAAUACAGACAACUACUGUUUGCAGAACUGAGCCAACAUUCACUCAACCCAGAUCCUACUUCCAUGCUUAAGUUGAGCUUGGAUAGUUUAUCAAGUGUGAUCUUGAAAAUGAGGAUGGAAAUGAACAUGGCUUUGAAAGAGAUAUGAUGUGAUCUGCAAUGACUUCAUAUGGAAAAGGAAGAUCGCUUUGCUUGAAAACCCUGCAAGGUCAAGCUGAGAAUGCGGGAUGUGCAAUUUCCGGGUGGUUUUUUAUUAUUGGAAAGAGAAGUUGAUUUGAACAUUAAAUUAUAGACACUACACUAUGGUAAUGUUAAUACGAGUGGGAGAGUUUGAGAGAUGUUGCUUCGAAGGAAGAAAAGAAGAACAAGAAGAGUUUGCAAAUGGAUUUACUCCUUUAUUGGGAUUGUCAAGUUCUUUGUCUAGGUUCUUAUCCUCUCCUGUCCUGCAUUGCUGCCUUUAUUUUUCUUCUGACUGGUUGGUGAUUGGAUAUGGAUUUGUUAUGUGAUUCCAAUCAUAUGAUUUUUUCCAUGAUUGCUGUUUGCCACUAUGAACUUCUUUCAUUCACUGAUGAAUUUUGUUGAUAUUAGUCUCUGCUCAGCUGCCGAAUAUUUAUUUCAAAUUGUUCAUGGAGCCCUUCCCCAAUUGUGUUUUGAUCCUAAUUCAUCUGUGCCACCUGCUGAAAUAACUGUUCUUGUCCUGGACUAUCUUUACACGAAACUGGAUCAAGUGUCUUGUGCAAGGUGGUGAGGUAGAAGAGUUCUCAUGCUACUCAAUAUGUCUGUGGGGGUGUAUGCUACCGUAUAUUCAAUGUCUUGAUUCUUGACAUUUUGAAGGAACUCUUGAUGAUCCUUAUGAAGAGAGCAAUCCCAAUUGAUUAAGCCCGAGUUCUGUGAGAAGAGCUAUGAGUUAAGACAAUUACUGUGCAGGAAGUUAGAUGUUGAGCAUCGUGCUCUACAUUCUUCUCUACCUUUAUCGAAUAACAAGUCAGGAAUGAGUGAAAAAGAUUAGAAUCUGUUUUCCAACUCAACAAAAGGAACUUCUAGCAUGUCCUCUGUUUAUCAAGGAAAUUUCUAAGUCAAUUGUCUCUGCUGGAAAAUCAUGGCAGCUGGUCCGUCAUGUUCCUGUGUUAUUCUCAAUGAUGUCUGAAAUAAGGAGACAUCCAGAUAUUAAUGUUCCUGGAGGCUCUACUGAUGAUAGUUUAAACAUUUGC